This 120-nucleotide ribosomal RNA is filed under the name uncultured bacterium. RNAcentral's name for it is "partial 16S ribosomal RNA". It matches the Rfam family "Bacterial small subunit ribosomal RNA", at positions 32 to 148 of the family's 1533-position model. The record is from RNAcentral.
AAUCAACGCUGGCGGCGUGCCUAACACAUGCAAGUCGAACGCGGUUUCCCCGCAAGGGGAGACUGAGUGGCGAACGGGUGAGUAACACGUGGGUGACCUACCUUCGAGUGGGGGAUAACG